GACGAACGCUGGCGGCGUGCUUAACACAUGCAAGUCGAACGGAAAGGCCCUGCUUUUGUGGGGUGCUCGAGUGGCGAACGGGUGAGUAACACGUGAGUAACCUGCCCUUGACUUUGGGAUAACUUCAGGAAACUGGGGCUAAUACCGGAUAGGAGCUCCUGCUGCAUGGUGGGGGUUGGAAAGUUUCGGCGGUUGGGGAUGGACUCGCGGCUUAUCAGCUUGUUGGUGGGGUAGUGGCUUACCAAGGCUUCGACGGGUAGCCGGCCUGAGAGGGUGACCGGCCACAUUGGGACUGAGAUACGGCCCAGACUCCUACGGGAGGCAGCAGGGGGGAAUAUUGCACAAUGGGCGGAAGCCUGAGGCAGCAACGCCGCGUGCGGGAUGACGGCCUUCGGGUGGUAAACCGCUUUCGCCUGUGACGAAGCGUGAGUGACGGUAAUGGGUAAAGAAGCACCGGCUAACUACGUG
RNAcentral lists this ribosomal RNA (468 nucleotides) under uncultured bacterium. Its description in RNAcentral is "partial 16S ribosomal RNA". It matches the Rfam family "Bacterial small subunit ribosomal RNA", at positions 28 to 507 of the family's 1533-position model. The record is from RNAcentral.